RNAcentral lists this ribosomal RNA (301 nucleotides) under uncultured bacterium. Its description in RNAcentral is "partial 16S ribosomal RNA". It matches the Rfam family "Bacterial small subunit ribosomal RNA", at positions 509 to 809 of the family's 1533-position model. The record is from RNAcentral.
CAGUAGCCACGGGAAUACGGGGGGGGCAAGCGUUGUUCGGAAUUAUUGGGCGUAAAGGGCGCGUAGGCGGUUUGACAAGUUUGGUGUGAAAUCUAUGGGCUCAACCCAUAGCCUGCAUCGAAAACUGUCGGGCUUGAGUAUGGGAGAGGUGAGUGGAAUUUCCGGUGUAGCGGUGAAAUGCGUAGAUAUCGGAAGGAACACCUGAGGCGAAAGCGGCUCACUGGACCAUAACUGACACUGAGAGACGAAAGCUAGGGGAGCAAGUGGGAUUAGAUACCCCGGUAGUCCCUGUCUCUUAUAA